UACGGGGGGGGCAAGCGUUGUUCGGAAUUACUGGGCGUAAAGGGCUCGUAGGCGGCCACCUAAGUCAGACGUGAAAUCCCUCGGCUUAACCGGGGAACUGCGUCUGAUACUGGAUGGCUUGAGUUUGGGAGAGGGAUGCGGAAUUCCAGGUGUAGCGGUGAAAUGCGUAGAUAUCUGGAGGAACACCAAUGGCGAAGGCAGCUCUCUGGGACGGUACUGACGCUGAGACGCGAAAGCGUGGGGAGCGAACAGG
This 253-nucleotide ribosomal RNA is filed under the name uncultured bacterium. RNAcentral's name for it is "partial 16S ribosomal RNA". It matches the Rfam family "Bacterial small subunit ribosomal RNA", at positions 524 to 776 of the family's 1533-position model. The record is from RNAcentral.